GACCGAAUGGCGUAGUGGUUAGUGACCCUGACUGCUAUGCCGAAGGUCCCGGGAUCGAUUCCCGGUUGGGGCA
RNAcentral lists this transfer RNA (73 nucleotides) under Plutella xylostella (diamondback moth). RNAcentral's name for it is "tRNA-Ser". Lineage: Eukaryota; Metazoa; Arthropoda; Insecta; Lepidoptera; Plutellidae. The record is from RNAcentral.